Molecule: ribosomal RNA, 253 nt
Filed under: uncultured bacterium
Lineage: Bacteria
Description: partial 16S ribosomal RNA
Rfam family: Archaeal small subunit ribosomal RNA
Source: RNAcentral
UACCAGCACCCCGAGUGGUCGGGACGAUUAUUGGGCCUAAAGCAUCCGUAGCCGGUUCUACAAGUCUUCCGUUAAAUCCACCUGCUUAACAGAUGGGCUGCGGAGGAUACUAUGGAGCUAGGAGGCGGGAGAGGCAAGCGGUAUUUAGUGGGUAGGGGUAAAAUCCGUUGAUCCAUUGAAGACCACCAGUGGCGAAGGCGGCUUGCCAGAACGCACUCGACGGUGAGGGAUGAAAGCUGGGGGAGCAAACCGG